AUAUGUUGUAUUUGGAGACACCAGCAGGAGUUGGGUUCUCUUACUCCUCUAAUGACUCCUAUUAUGCUGGGGUUGAUGAUAAGAUGACUGAACCGGCCCUGAGUGUAGGCUGAUGCGGCAGCUCCCGCAGCGGUGGAGAGGCGCUAUAGAGGGGUGAGAUAGCGGCCACGGGGGAAGUUUGCUGCCGAGAUGAGAGAUCCCGGGAAGAAUGGGGCUUGGGUUUGGCUCGGGAUGUUCGAGACGGCGGAAGAGGCCGCGAUGGCGUACGACCGGGCGAUGUUUUGGAUGUGAGGGUCGAGGGCCAUACUUAACUUUCCUCAUCUUGUUGGUUCUCAUCAGUGUUGUUGAAAAAAAUAUGUAAGGUUAAGGGUAGAGUUGUGAAAUUUGGAGGAAAUGUUUAACAAAAAAUGAAUGAUGAAUGUUCGGAUGAUAUAUGAGCAAUCCAAUAGGCUAUUGAUUUUUA
Long non-coding RNA from Asparagus officinalis (garden asparagus), 463 nucleotides. RefSeq lists it as uncharacterized. The record is from RefSeq and is a predicted model, not a curated record. The transcript has 2 exons. NCBI's taxonomy places the organism in Eukaryota, Viridiplantae, Streptophyta, Magnoliopsida, Asparagales, Asparagaceae.